AUUCUCUGGGCUUUGCAACUUGCUAAGGGGGAACAUUAGCAAAAUCAGCUUGCCGCAGGACCCUUCCUUACACCUUUUAUUUAUUUAAAUAUACUAUUCUAUCCUGCUUCGGUCAAAUUUCAUGGCUCUGUUUGGAGUCUCUCUGUUUUUAUUGCUACUCAUUGCUCUGUUUCCAAGCCUCUGUUUUGCUGAUGACCCAAGUGUUUUCUAUGACCUUCGUCUCUCUUACAUCACUGCAUCACCUCUCGGCGUUCCUCAACAGGUUAUUGCGGUUAAUGGAAAGUUUCCAGGUCCCCUAAUCAAUUCUACUACUAAUGACAAUGUUAAUGUCAAUGUACAUAAUGAUUUGGAUGAAAAUCUCCUGAUGACCUGGUCUGGGAUUCAGAUGCGGCGUGACUCUUGGCAGGAUGGUGUUCUUGGCACAAAUUGUCCAAUUCAUCCAAAAAGGAAUUGGACUUACCAGUUUCAAUUGAAGGAUCAAAUUGGAAGCUUUUUCUACUUCCCAUCUCUCAAUUUUCAGAGAGCAUCUGGUGGCUUUGGUCCUAUCAUUAUUAAUAAUCGGGUUAUAAUCGCAAUUCCUUUUGCACAGCCAGAUGGGGAUAUCACCAUUACAAUAGGUGACUGGUAUAUCCAGAACCAUACGGCACUGCGAUCAGCUCUUGAUGCUGGAAAAGGCCUUGCGAUGCCUGAUGGAGUUCUCAUCAAUGGAAAGGGGCCUUACAGAUACAAUACCACCCUCGUACUUGAUGGCAUUGAGUAUGAAACCAUUCAAGUUGAUCCAGGCAAAACAUAUCGAAUUCGUGUGCACAAUGUUGGAAUUUCAACUAGUUUGAACUUUAGAAUUCAAAACCAUUUUCUGCUUCUAGCAGAAACAGAAGGAUACUAUACAACGCAACAAAAUUUUACUUCCUUAGAUAUUCAUGUUGGGCAAUCUUAUUCGUUUUUGGUUACCAUGGACCAGAAUGCAAGUUCUGAUUACUACAUCGUGGCAAGUGCUAGAUUUGUGAAUGAAUCUCUUUGGCAAAGAGUGACCGGUGUUGCUGUUUUACGCUAUUCCAAUUCCAAAGGACCAGCAACUGGUCCUCUCCCUGACCCACCAAAUGAUUUUUAUGACAAGUCAUGGUCAAUGAACCAAGCAUUAAGCAUCAGGCAAAAUGUAUCUGCAAGUGGAGCUCGCUCUAAUCCUCAAGGUUCCUUUCACUAUGGUCAAAUUAAUGUGACUCAGACCUAUGUGAUAAAGACUGUGCCACCAGAAAUAAUUAAUGGGACGCUUCGAACCACACUUAACGGGAUCUCAUUUGUCAAUCCUGACACACCAAUCACGCUUGCUGACAAUUAUAAUGUGAUGGGAGCUUAUAAGCUUAAUUUUCCUGAUCAGCCUCUUAACAGAACACCCCGGCUGGACAGAUCUGUUAUUAAUGCUACAUAUAAGGGAUUCAUAGAAAUCAUAUUUCAGAACAACGACACCAUGAUGCAGAGUUUUCAUGUAGAUGGCUAUUCAUUUUUUAUGGUUGGGUUUUCCCUGGGGGAUGGACAGCGGUCCUUAUUUCUCUGGACAACGUUGGAGUGUGGAACAUUAGAACCGAAAAUCUUGAUAGAUGGUAUCUAGGCCAAGAAACUUAUAUGAAAAUUAUCAAUCCGCAGGAAAAUGGUGCCACGGAGAUGGGUCUACCUGACAAUGUUUUAUAUUGUGGUGCCCUCCAAAACUUAGCAAAUGAUCAAAACAAUUCUGCAGGAUCAGUUUUAAGAGGAAACUCAAAACUGCUUUUCAUUUUGCUGGUGGCGUUCUUUGCUUUGAUUAACAUUUCAAGCUAAACUUUGCUGCUGAUUGGUGAGAAAUAUGAUACCAAACUGUGACGGCUUUGUCCUGACUCUGUUGCAGGUGUGAUGUUAGUGUUGGAGAUGUUUGUGAGACAUAUUCAUAGUUUAAGUUUGCAAACCUUUGUCAGUACAAAAUUUUCUGGUUCAAAGGACAACCAUUUCCUUCUUUUUUUUUUGAAAAAACAUAUCGGGUUUACACCU
Quercus robur (English oak) is the source of this 2022-nucleotide RNA transcript. It is a transcript of the gene named monocopper oxidase-like protein SKS1, with no coding region annotated. Lineage: Eukaryota; Viridiplantae; Streptophyta; Magnoliopsida; Fagales; Fagaceae. The transcript is spliced from 8 exons. The record is from RefSeq and is a predicted model, not a curated record.